Molecule: non-coding RNA, 25 nt
Filed under: Arabidopsis thaliana (thale cress)
Lineage: Eukaryota; Viridiplantae; Streptophyta; Magnoliopsida; Brassicales; Brassicaceae
Also listed under: 1 other name
Source: RNAcentral
UAACCGUAGUAAUUCUAGAGCUAAU